UACAACUGACUAGGUAUCCCCCUUUCUGUUGUACAACUGACUAGGUAUCCCCCUUUCCUUUCUGUUGUACAACUGACUAGGUAUCCCCCUUUCUGUUGUACAACUGACUAGGUAUCCCCCUUUCUGUUGUAUAACUGACUAGGUGUCCCCCUUUCCUUUCUGUUGUACAACUGACUAGGUACCCACCUUUUGCUUUCUGUUGUACAACUGACUAGGUAUCCCCCUUUCCUUUCUGUUGUACAACUGACUAGGUAUCCCCCUUUCCGUUCUGUUGUACAACUGAAUAUAUUUUUGAAUAUACUGAAUAUAUUUUUAUUUUUAAUCCCAGCCUCCGUCCCCUCGGGAGGCCUUUUGCAUUUUGGUAGGCCGUCAUUGUAAAGAAGAACUUGUUCUUAUCAAUCAAAUCAAUCAAUUCAUCAAAGGUAUUUAUAAAGCACUUCUCACAUCAGUUGAUGUCAUAAAGUGCUGUACAGAAACCCAGCCUAAAACCCCAAACAGCAAGCAAUGCAGGUGUAGAAGCACGGUGGCUAGGAAAAACUCCCUAGAAAGGCCUAAACCUAGGAAGAAACCUAGAGAGGAACCAGGCUAUGAGGGGUGGCCAGUCCUCUUCUGGCUUUGCCAGGUGGAGAUUAAAACAGUACAUGGCCAAGAUGUUCAAAUGUUCAUAAAUGACCAGCAGGGUCAAAUAAUAAUAAUCACAGUGCUUGUAGAGGGUGCAACAGGUCAGCACCACAGGAGUAAAUAUCAGUUGGAUUUUCAUAGCCAAUCAGCUAGUUAAAUAAAGGUUAAAUCACAUCAAAUUCCUCCACUUGACGUAGCUGUACAAUGUAGCUUCUGUGAUGACCUUUGAAUUCCCUGGAUAAAUGUAUUGUCUGUGCCAGUGUCGAUGCAAAUAGAGAGGGAGAGAUGGCACAACACAGCAGUCCAGAUCAUGUUUAGCCUACUGGACUGUUCAUGAGCUUGAAGAGUUUUAGUUGGUAACACUGGAAGCUAAUUAUGUAAUUUGGUAAAAACAGCCAUCAAGGCUUGUUUUUCAAUUACAUUAUGCCAAAUCUGAUCUGCAUUCUGGCUGUUGAGAGCAAGGACUUACAACCUCUUAGUCAAUAUUUUUUUUUUAAAGGGAAGGUUUUCUCAUCAGAAUAUCCUGAAAUACAUAAGUGGAAAACCAUUUGUCUCUGAUGGUCUGUGGAGAUUUCUCCUUCUGUUUGGAACACCUUCUGUUUGGAACUCCUUCUGUUUGGAACACCUUCUGUUUGGAACUCCUGUUUAGAACUCCUUCUGUUUGGAA
Long non-coding RNA from Oncorhynchus tshawytscha (Chinook salmon), 1288 nucleotides. Lineage: Eukaryota; Metazoa; Chordata; Actinopteri; Salmoniformes; Salmonidae. The record is from Ensembl.